UGGUUCCGAUGGGGUGAUUCCUC
RNAcentral lists this non-coding RNA (23 nucleotides) under Arabidopsis thaliana (thale cress). Lineage: Eukaryota; Viridiplantae; Streptophyta; Magnoliopsida; Brassicales; Brassicaceae. The record is from RNAcentral.